This is a long non-coding RNA of Delphinapterus leucas (beluga whale), 611 nucleotides long. RefSeq lists it as uncharacterized. The record is from RefSeq and is a predicted model, not a curated record. Lineage: Eukaryota; Metazoa; Chordata; Mammalia; Artiodactyla; Monodontidae.
GGAAAUCAAAAUGGAGUCGGUUUUGCCUUGAUACUGGUUAUUGUGCAAUAGGAUUACCACGUGACCGGCACUGUGCUCAAGACUAGAGGCUCUGACCUGUGCUCGGAGAGAUGGCCACCGGGAUGCUAGAAAGGUCCCAACCCACCUGGCUGGGAUGCAAAGUCCAGGUCCCUGGUGAGGGCGAAAACACAAGAAAGAAAACAUGAAACAGUUCGUCUUCUCCUACUAGGAACCCAUCCACCUGGAAGAGCUAAUAUAAGCGCAAGACCCAACACAGCCCUCCUGCCCGCUCUGGGCUAUGCCAUUAAAAACCCAAAAGGCUGUGGUCUGUGAGCUGCCGUGAGGAAGCAAAUGGUUGUUUCCCGGUCCCCGGAAAAGAGUGAGCUCCACAGUCCCUCACACAGGAUGAGCCAUGGAAACACGUGGCAAGUAAAAACUCAGGGUGGUCCGAACACGGCGAUGAUGGAGCAUCAGAGCAGACAGCUGCAGGAGCCACCUGCCCACGCAGCCCGUGAGGACACAGAGGCAGGGCCUCACAGAAAGGAAGCAGGUAUCAUUUCCAGCCGGUGCUGACUGAACAAUACAAUAAAUGGAAGCUGCUCUAUAUUGGG